This 9475-nucleotide long non-coding RNA is filed under the name Brassica napus (rape). RNAcentral describes it as "long non-coding RNA (BNAP_LNC002929)". The record is from RNAcentral. Lineage: Eukaryota; Viridiplantae; Streptophyta; Magnoliopsida; Brassicales; Brassicaceae.
UGCAACCUAUUGAUGAAAUAUUCUGAAAAAAUAUUUAUCUAUCAACAAAAGUUCUUGUUAUCCUAAUUUCAAAGUCACAACUCCAAAUCUACAAUAGUACUCUAUACAAAUGAAAACUUUUCAGAAAUAACAGUUUUUUGUAAAAAUAUUGAAAAAUGUAACACAUUGAUGGAAAAUUAUGAAAAAAUACUCAUCUAUCAAAACAAAUUCUUGUUAUCCUUAUUUCUAAGUCACAAUCCCAAAUCUACAACAGUUCUCUAUAAAAAUGAAAACUUUUCAAAAAUAGCAGCUUUUGUAAAAAUUGUUUAAAAAAAUACAAUCUAUGGAAGAAAAAAUCUGAAAGUAUACUUAAAUUUCAACAAAAAUUCUUGUUAUCCUAAUUUCUAAUUGACAAUCCCAAAUCUACAAUAGUUCUCAUUUUAAUCGAAAACUUUCCAAAAAUAUGAGGUUUAUUAAAAAGUAUUUUUAAAAUGCAACAUAUUGAUGAAGUUUUUUGAAAGAAUACUCAUCUAUCAAAAAAAAUUCUAGUUAUCCUAAUUUUUAAGUCACAAUCCAAAUCUACAAUAGUUCUCUAUAGAAAAUAAAAACAUUUCAAAAAUAGCAGGUUUCGUAAAAAUUAUUGAGAAAAUGCAACCUCUUGACAAACAAUUCUGAAAAAAUACUAAUCUAUCAACGACAAUUCAUGUUAUCCUAAUUUCAAAGGCACAACCCCAAAUCUACAAUAGUACUCUAUACAUAUGAAAACUUUCAAGAAAUAACAUUUUUUGUAAAAAAUAUUGAAAAAAGUGACCUAUUGAUGGAAAAUUAUGAAAUAAUACUCAUCUAUCAAAACCAAUUCUUCUUAUCCUUAUUUUUAAGUCAAAAUCCCAAAUCUAUAACAAUUCACUAUAGAAAUGAAAACUUUCUAAAAAUAACAGCUUUUGUAAAUAUUAUUUUAAAAAUGCAAUCUAUGGUAUAGAAAAUGUGAAAGAAUACUUAUAUAUCAACAAAAAUUCUUGUUAUCCUAACUUCUAUGUGACAAUCCCAAAUCUACAAUAGUUCUCUAUGUAAAUGAAAACUUUCCAAAAACAUGUGGUUUUAAAGAAAUUAUUAAAAAGAUGCAACCUAUUGUAGAAAAAUUCUUGUUGUACAAAUUUCUAAGUCACAAUCCUAAAUCUACAAUAGUUCUCUAUAAAAAUGAAAAAUUUCCAAAAAUAGCAGUUUUUGUAAAAAUUAUUGAAAAAUGUAACCUAUUGGUGAAAAAUUCUGAAAGAAUACUCUUCUAUCAAAACAAAUUCUUGUUAUCUUUAUUUCUAAGUCACAAUCCCAAAUCUAUAACAGUUCUCUAUAAAAAUGAAAACUUUCCAAAAUAUCAGCUUUUAAAAAAAAACUAUUUUAAAAAUGCAAUCUAUGAAAGAAAAAAUCUGAAAGAAUACUUAUAUAUCAACAAAAAUUAUUGUUAUCCUAAUUUCUAAUCCAAAAUAUAUAGUAGUUCUCUAUAGAAAUAAAAAAUUUCCAAAAAUAGCAACUUUGGUAAAAGUUAUUGAAAAAAUGCAACCUAUUGAUGAAAAAUAUUGAAAAAAUUCUCAUAUAUCAACGAAAAUUCUUGUUAUCUUAAUUUCAAAGUCACAACCCCAAAUCUACAAUAGUACUCUAUAGAAAUGAAAACUUUCCAAAAUAGCAGUUUUUGUAAAAUUUAUUGAAAAAAUGCAAUCUAUGGAAGAAAAAAUCUGUAAGAAUACUUAAAUAUCAACAAAAAUUCUUGUUAUCCUAAUUUAUAAGUGACAAUCCCGAAUCUAUAAUAGUUCUCUAUGUAAAUGAAAACUUUCCAAAAAUAGAAGGUUUUUUAAAAAUUAUUUAAGAAAUGCAACCUAUUGAUGAAAAAUUUCGAAAGAAUGCUCAUCUAUCAAAACAAAUUCUUGUUAUCUUUAUUUCUAAGUCACAAUCCCAAAUCUACAACAGUUCUCUAUAAAAAAAGAAAACUUUCGAAAAACAUCAGCUUUUAUAAAAAUUAUUUAAAAAAUGCAAUCUAUUGAAGAAAAACCUAAAAAUAUACAUAUAUAUAUAUCAAUAAAAAUUCUUGUUAUCUUAAUUUCUAAGUGACAAUCUCAAAUCUAGUAUAGUUCUCUAUAUAAAUGAAAACUUUCCAAAAUAUGAGGUUUUUCAAAACUUAUUAAAAAAAUUCAACCUAUUGAUGAACAAUUCUGAAAAAAUACUCAUCUAUUAAGACAAAUUCUUCUAAUACUAGUUUCUAAGUCACCAUCCUAAAUCUACAAUAGUUUUCUAUAAAAAUGAAAACUAUCUAAAAAUAGCACGUUUUAAAAACAAUAUUUUAAAAAUACAACAUAUUGAUGAAAAAUUCUGAAAAAAUACUGAUCUAUAAACACAAAUUCUUUUUAUCCUUAUUUCAAAGUCACAAUCCCAAUCUACAAUAGUUCUCUAUAAAAAAUGAAAGCUUUCCAAAAAUAGUAGGUUGUUAAAAUAUUAUUUAAAAAAUAAAACCUUCUUUUGAAACUUUGAGAGAAUACUCAUCUAUCAACAAAAAUUCAAGUUAUCAUAAUUUCUAAGUCAUAAUCCCAAAUAUACAAUAGUUCUCUAUCUAAACAAAAACAUUCCAAAAAUAGUAACUUUGGUAAAAAUUAUUGACAAAAUGCAACUUAUUGAUGAAAAAUCCUGAAAAAUUACUCAUAUAUUAACGAAAAUUCAUAUUAUCCUAAUUUCAAAGUCACAACCCCAAAUCUACAAUAGUACUCUAUAGAAAUGAAAACUUUUCAAAAUAGCAGUUUUUGUAAAAUUUAUUGAAAAAAUGCAAUCUAUGGAAGAAAAAAUCUGUAAGAAUACUUAAAUAUCAACAAAAAUUUUUGUUAUCCUAAUUUAUAAGUGACAAUCCCAAAUCUAUAAUAGUUCUCUAUGUAAAUGAAAACUUUCCAAAAAUAAAAGGUUUUCUAAAAAUUAUUUAAGGAAUGCAACCUAUUGAUGAAAAAUUCUGAAAGAAUGCUCAUCUAUCAAAACAAAUUCUUGUUAUCUUUAUUUCUAAGUCACAAUCCCAAAUGUACAACAGUUCUCUGUAAAAAUGAAAACUUUCCAAAAACAUCAGCUUUCGUAAAAAUUAUUUAAAAAAUGCAAUCUAUUGAAAAAAAACUGAAAGAAUACAUAUAUAUAUAUCAAAAAAAAUUCUUGUUAUCUUAAUUUCUAAUUGACAAUCUCAAAUCUACAAUAGUUCUCUAUAUAAAUGAAAACUUUCCAAAAAUAUGAGGUUUUUUAAAACUUAUUUAAAAAUGCAACCUAUUCAUAAAGAAUUCUGAAAAAAUACUCAUCUAUUAAGAAAAAUUCUUCUAAUACUAGUUUCUAAGUCACCAUCCAAAAUCUACAAUAGUUCUCUAUAAAAAUGAAAACUAUCCAAAAAUAGCACGUUUUAAAAAACAAUAUUUUAAAAAUGAAACAUACUGAUAAAAAAUUCUGAAAAAUACUCAUCUAUAAACAAAAAUUCUUUUUUAUCCUUAUUUCAAAGUCACAAUCACAAUCUACAAUAGUUCUCUAUAAAAAAAUGAAAGCUUUCCAAAAAUAGUAGGUUGUUAAAAUAUUAUUUAAAAAAUAAAACUUUCUUUUGAAACUUUGAGAGAAUACUCAUCUAUCAACAAAAGUUCUAGUUAUCUUAAUUUCUAAGUCAUAAUCCCAAAUAUACAGUAGUUCUCUAUCUAAAUAAAAACUUUCCAAAAAUAGCAACUUUGGUAAAAAUUAUUGACAAAAUGCAACCUAUUGAUGAAAAAUCCUGAAAAACUACUCAUCUAUUAACAACAAUUCAUGUUAUCCUAAAUUCAAAGUCACAACCCCAAAUCUACAAUAGUACUCUAUAGAAAUCAAAACUUGCCAAAAAUAGUUGUUUUUGUAAAAAUUAUUGAAAAAUGUAACCUAUUGAUGAAAAUAUUGAAAGAAUACUCAUCUAUCAAAACAAAUUCUUGUUAUCAUAAUUUCAAAGUCACAAUCCCAAAUCUGCAACAGUUCUAUAAAAAUGAAAACUUUCCAAAAAUAGCUGUUUUUGUAAAAAUUAUUUUGAAAAUGCAAAUUAUGGAAGAAAAAUCUUAAACAAUACUUAUAUAUCAACAAAAAUUCUUGUUAUCUUAAUUUCUAAGUGAAAAUCCCGAAUCUACAAAAUUUCUCUAUGUAUUUCAAAAUUAAAAAGUUUUUAAAAUUAAUUUAAAAAAUACAACCUAUUGAUGAAAAAUUCUGAAAGAAUACUCAUCUAUUAACAAAAAUUCUUGUUAUACUAAUUUCUAAGUCACAAUCCUAAAUCUAUAAUAGUUUUCUAUAAAAAUGAAAACUUUCUAAAAAUAGUUGUUUUUGUAAAAAUUAUUGAAAAAUGUAACCUACUCAUGAAAUAUUCUGAAAGAUACUCAUCUAUCAAAACAAAUUUUUAUUAUCAUUAUUUUUAAGUCACAAUCCCAAAUCUAAAACAGUUCUCUAUAAAAAUGAAAAAUUUACAAAAAUAGCAGCUUUUGUAAAAAUUAUUUAAAAAAUGCAAUCUAUUGAAGAAAAAAAUCUGAAAGAAUAGUUAUAUAUCAAGAAAAAUUCUUGUUAUCCUAAUUUCUAAGUGACAAUCUCAAAUCUACAAUAUCUCUCUAUUUAAAUGAAAAAAUUCCAAAAAUAUUAGGUUUAUUAAAAAUUAUUUUAAAAAUGCAAACGGUUGAUUCAAAAUUCUAAACAAAUACUCAUCUAUAAACAAAAAAUCUUGUUAUCCUUAUUUCUAAGUCACAAUCUCAAUUCUACAAUAGUUCUCUAUAAUAAAUGAAAACUUUCCAAAAAUAGCAGGCUCUUAUAAAAUUAUUUUAAAAAUGCAACCUAUUGAUGAAAUUUUCUAAGAGAAUAAUCAUUUAUCAACAAAAAUUCUAUUUAUCCAAAUUUAUAAGUCACAAUCCCAAAUCUACAAUAGUUCUCUAUUGAAAUAAAAACUUUCAAAAAGUGGCAGCUCUCUGAAAAAAUACUCAUCUAUCAACGAAAAUUUUUGUUAUCCUAAUUUCAAAGUCACAACCCCAAAUCUACAACAGUACUCUAUAGAAAUGAAAAUUUCCAAAAAUAGUAGUUUUUGUAAAAAUUAUUGAAAAAUGUAACCUAUUGAUGAAAAUUCAAGAGAGAAUACUCAUUUAUCUAAACAAAUUCUUGUUAUCCUUAUUUCUAAGUCACAAUCUCAAAUCUACAACAGUUCUCUAUAAAAAUGAAAAUUUUCCAAAAAUAGCAGUUUUUGUAAAAAUUAUUUUAAAAAUGCAAUCUAAGAAAAAUCUGAAAGAAUACUUAUAUAUCAACAAAAUUCUUGUUAUCCGAAUUUAUAAAUGACAAUCCCAAAUCUACAAUAGGUCUCAAUUUAAAUGAAAACUUUCCAAAAAUAUGAGGUUUAUUAAAAGUUAUUUAAAAAAUGCCACUUAUUGAUGAAAAAUUCUGAAAGAAUACUCAUCUAUAAAAAAAAGUUCUUGUUAUCCUUACUUCUACAAUAGUUCUCUAUAGAAAUAAAAAACUUUCCAAAAAAAUCAGCUUUCGUAAAAAUUAGUUUAAAAAUACCACCUAUUGAUGAAAAAUUCUGAAAGAAUAUUCAUCAAUAAAAAAAAUUAAUAGAAUCUUUAUUUCUUCAAUAGUUCUCUAUAGAAAUAAAAAAACUUUCCAAAAAGAGUAGCUUUUUAAAAAAUUAUUGAAAAAAUACAACAUAUUGAUGAAAAAUUCUGAAAAAAAUACUCAUUUAUCAACGAAAAUUCUUGUUAUCCUAAUUUCAAAGUCAGAAUCCCAAAUCUACAACAGUACUUUAUAGAUCUGAAAACUUUCCCAAAAUAGCAGUUUUUGUAAUUUUUUUUGAAAAAUAUAACCUAUUGAUGAAAAAUUCUGAAAGAAUACUCAUCUAUCAAAAUAAAUUGUUUUUUUUGUCACAGAUAUCAAAAUAAAUUGUUGUUAUUCUUAUUUAUAAGUCACAAUCCAAAUCUACAACAGUUCUCCAUAAAAAUGAAAACUUUCCGAAAAUAGCAGCUUUUGUAAAAUUUAUUUUAAAAAUGCAAUCUAAGAAAAAGUCUAAAAGAAUACUUAUAUAUCAACAAAAAUUAUUGUUAUCCUAAUUUAUAAAUGACAAUCCCUAAUCUACAAUAGCUCUCUAUUUAAAUGAAAACUUUCCAAAAAUAUGAGGUUUAUUAAAUAUUAUUUAAAAAAUGCCACCUAUUGAUGAAAAAUUCUGAAAGAAUACUCAGCUAUAUAAAAAAAUUCUUGUUAUCCUUAUUUCUACAAUAGUUCUGUAUAGGAAUUAAAAAAAACUUUCGAAAAAUAGCAGCUUUUUUAAAAAUUAUUGAAAAAAUACAACCUAUUGAUGAAAAAUUCUGAAAAAAUUACUCAUCUAUCAACGAAAAUUCUUGUUAUCCUAAUUUCAAAGUCACAAUCUUAAAUCUACAACAGUACUCUAUAGAAAUGAAAACUUCCCAAAAUAGCUGUUUUUGUGAAAAUUAUUGAAAAAUGUAACCUAUGGAUGAAAAAUUCUGAAAGAAUACUCAUCUAUCAAAAUAAAUUGUUGUUAUUCUUAUUUUUAAGUCACAAUCCCAAAUCUACAACAUUUCUCUAUAAGAAUGAAAACUUUUCAAAAAUAGCAGCUUUUGUAAAAAUUAUUUUAAAAAUGCAAUCUAAGAAAAAUUCUAAAAGAAUACUUAUAUAUUAAAAAAAAAUUCUUGUUAUCCUAAUUUAUAAAUGACAAUCCCAAAUCUACAAUAGCUCUCUAUUUAAAUGAAAACUUUCCAAAUCUACAAUAGCUAAUUUAUAAAUGACAAUCCCAAAUCUACAAUAGCUCUCUAUUUAAAUGAAAACUUUCCAAAAAUAUGAGGUUUAUUAAAUAUUAUUUAAAAAAUACAACUUAUUGACGAAAAAUUCAGAAAGAAUACUCAUCUAUAAAAAAAAUUAUUGUUAUCCUUAUUUCUACAAUAUUUUUCUAUAGAAAAAAAAAACUUUCCAAAAAAAGCAACUUUCGUAAAAAUUAUUGAAAAGAUACAACCUAUUGAUGAAAACUUCUGAAAAAUAUUCAUCUAUCAACGAAAAUUCUUGUUAUCCUAAUUUCAAAGUCACAACCCAAAAUCUACAAUAUUACUCUAUACAAAUAAAAAUUUCCAAAAAUACCAGUUUUUGUAAAAAUUAUUGAAAAAUGUAACCUAUUGAUGAAAAUUCUAAAAGAUUACUCAUCUAUCAAAACAAAUUAUUGUCAUCCUUAUUUAAAAGUUACAAUCUCAAAUCUUCAACAGUUCUCUAUAAAAAUGAAAACUUUCCAAAAAUAGCAGCUUUUGUAAAAAUAAUUUUAAAAAUGCGAACAUUGAAUAUGAAAGCCACGUUACAAAAAAAAAAUGUCUAAAGGAAUUGAUUUAGUAACAUACAAGAUAAAGCUCUUAUGCACAUUUAAGUCAUGCCACAAACUAGUUUUUGUUCUAUAUUAUCCGCUUGUAGCUUGGAAUUUAGAUAAUCAUGAAGGUUGGGAUAAAAAAUGAUGAUCAAGAAAAUAUGACCAAUUAUUAUUAAUGCUUAAAUUCAAAAACAAAACAACGAAGAGAAACCCCUGUAGUUAGGGAUCAAUCAUUCCUGAAACUUGGUAAGAACCAACGAGCUCUAGAGAAUGAAACUCAGGAACCCCUGUAGCAUCUGAGGAUCUAGAUUCCUAAUUUCUAAGUCACAAUUUCAAAUCUACAAUAGUUCUCUAUAGAAAUAAAAAAAUUCUAAAAAUAACAGCUUUCGUAAAAAUUAUUGAGAAAAUGCAACCUAUUAAUGAAAAAUUCUGAAAAAAUAUCCAUCUAUCUAUAAAAAUUCUUGUUAUCCUAAUUUCAAAGUCACAACCCAAAAUCUACAAUAGUACUCUAUAACAAUGAAAACUUUCCAAAAAUAGCAGUUCUUAAUUUCAAAGUCACAAUCCAAAAUCUACAAUAGUACUCUAUAAAAAUGAAAACUUUCCAAAAAUAACAGUUAAUAUUACCAAUUAAUAUUAAUGCUUAAAUUCAAAAACAAAACAACGAAGAGAAACCCCUGUAGUUAGGGAUCAAUCAUUCCUGAAACUUGGUAAGAACCAACGAGCUCUAGAGAAUGAAACACAGGAACCCUUGUAGCAUCUGAGGAUCUAGAUAAUUUUGAAGUCACAAUCUCAAAUCUACAAUAGUUCUCUAUAGAAAUAAAAAAUUUCCAAAAAUAACAGCUUUCGUAAAAAUUAUUGAGUAAAUGCAACCUAUUAGUGAAAAAUUAUGAAACAAAUAUUCAUCUAUCAACAAAAAUUCUUGUUAUCUUAAUUUCAAAGUCACAACCCAAAACCUACAAUAGUACUCUAUACAAAUGAACAUUUUCCAAAAAUAACAAUUUUUGCAAACAAAUAUUGAAAAAUGUAACUAAUUGAUGGAAAAUUAUGAAAGAAUAUUCAUCUAUCAAAAAAAAUUCUUGUUAUCCUUAUUUCUAAGUCACAAUCCCAAAUCUACAACAGUUAUCUAUAAAAAUGAAAAUUUUCCAAAAAAAAAAGAACUUUUGUAAAAAUUAUUUUAAAAAUGCAAUCUGUGGAAGAAAAAAAAAUCUGAAAGAAUACUUAAAUAUCAACAAAAAUUCUUGUUAUCCUAAUUUUUAAGUGAGAAUUCCAAAUCUACAAUAGUUCUCAUUUUAAUUGAAAACUUUUCAAAAAUAUGAGGUUUAUUAAAAAUUAUUUUAAAAAUACAACCUAUUGAUGAAGUUUUUUGAAAGAAUACUCAUCUAUCAACGAAAAUUCUUGUUAUCUUAAUUUCAAAGUCACAACCCCAAAUCUACAACAGUACUCUAUAAAAAUGAAAAUUUCCAAAAAGAGCAGUUUUUAUAAAAAUUAUUGAAAAGUGUAACCUAGUGAUAAAAAAUUCAGAAAAAAAUACUCAUUUAGCUAAACAAAUUCUUGUUAUCCUUAUUUCUGAGUCACAAUCCCAAAUCUACAACAGUUCUCUAUAAAAAUGAAAAAUUUCCAAAAUAGCAGCUUUUGUAAAAAUUAUUUUAAAAAUGCAAUCUAAGAAAAAAUCUGAAAGAAUACUUAUAUAUCAACAAAAAAUCUUGUUAUCAUAAUUUCUAAAUGACAAUCCCAAAUUUACAAUAGGUCUCUAUUGAAAUGAAAACUUUCCAAAAGUAUGAGGUUUAUUAAAAAUUAUUUAAAAAAUGCAACCUAUUGAUUAAAAUUUCUGAAAGAACACUCAUCUAUAAAAUAAAAAAUCUUGUUAUCCUUAUUUCUACAAUAGUUCUCUAUAGAAAUAAAAAACUUUCCAAAAAGAGAAGCUUUCUUAAAAAUUAUUGAAAAAAUACAACUUUUUGAUGAAAAAUUCUGAAAAAAUAUUCAUCUAUCAACGAAAAUUCUUGUUAUCCUAAUGUCAAAGUCACAAUCCCAAAUCAACAACAUUACUCUAUAGAAAUGAAAACUUUCCAAACAGAGCAGUUUUGUAAAAAUUAUUGAAAAAUGUAACAUAUUGAUGAAAAAUUCUGAAAGAAUACUCAUCUACCA